RNAcentral lists this ribosomal RNA (254 nucleotides) under uncultured bacterium. RNAcentral's name for it is "partial 16S ribosomal RNA". It matches the Rfam family "Bacterial small subunit ribosomal RNA", at positions 524 to 776 of the family's 1533-position model. The record is from RNAcentral.
UACGUAGGGGGCGAGCGUUGUCCGGAUUUAUUGGGCGUAAAGAGCUCGUAGGCGGUGUGUCGCGUCGGCCGUGAAAACCUGCAGCUUAACUGUGGGCGUGCGGUCGAUACGGGCAUCACUGGAGUUUGGCAGGGGAGACUGGAAUUCCUGGUGUAGCGGUGAAAUGCGCAGAUAUCAGGAGGAACACCGGUGGCGAAGGCGGGUCUCUGGGCCGAUACUGACGCUGAGGAGCGAAAGCGUGGGGAGCGAACAGG